Molecule: long non-coding RNA, 220 nt
Filed under: Mytilus galloprovincialis (Mediterranean mussel)
Lineage: Eukaryota; Metazoa; Mollusca; Bivalvia; Mytilida; Mytilidae
Source: RNAcentral
UGUCGGGAAGUAAGUAUACAGAUUGUACCUAACAGUUUAUAACUUUAUAAAGCAUGAUCACCUAUCAUUUUUUUAAAGCACUGUAAAUUUUAGUUUGAGCAAACAGAUCCAACUCAAUGUCACCCCUCUAGAGCACCAGGAUCUAAAUACAUGUCACCCAUCUCAUAUUGCACUAGGAUCUAAAUCAUUUUCACCGUUUGCUCCUACAUUGAUAUUUUAU